Molecule: transfer RNA, 72 nt
Filed under: Bacteroidaceae bacterium
Lineage: Bacteria; Pseudomonadati; Bacteroidota; Bacteroidia; Bacteroidales; Bacteroidaceae
Description: tRNA-Arg
Rfam family: tRNA
About the family: Transfer RNA (tRNA) molecules are approximately 80 nucleotides in length. Their secondary structure includes four short double-helical elements and three loops (D, anti-codon, and T loops).
Source: RNAcentral
GGUCCUGUAGUUCAAUGGAUAGAAUGGAGGUUUCCUAAACCUUAGAUCCGAGGUCGAAUCUCGGCGGGACUC